CAGUCGCCGCGGGAAUACGAAGGGGGCUAGCGUUGCUCGGAAUGACUGGGCGUAAAGGGCGCGUAGGCGGUUUGUACAGUUGGGUGUGAAAUUCCUGGGCUUAACCUGGGGGCUGCACCCAACACGUGCAGGCUUGAGUGUGGAAGAGGGUCGUGGAAUUCCCAGUGUAGAGGUGAAAUUCGUAGAUAUUGGGAAGAACACCGGUGGCGAAGGCGGCAACCUGGUCCUUGACUGACGCUGAGGCGCGAAAGCGUGGGGAGCAAACAGGAUUAGAUACCCCUGUAGUCCCUGUCUCUUAUAA
This 301-nucleotide ribosomal RNA is filed under the name uncultured bacterium. RNAcentral describes it as "partial 16S ribosomal RNA". It matches the Rfam family "Bacterial small subunit ribosomal RNA", at positions 509 to 809 of the family's 1533-position model. The record is from RNAcentral.